Non-coding RNA from Cladorrhinum sp. PSN259, 86 nucleotides. The record is from the annotation of a GenBank genome assembly. NCBI's taxonomy places the organism in Eukaryota, Fungi, Ascomycota, Sordariomycetes, Sordariales, Podosporaceae.
GGGCAAUUGGCCUAGGGGUAUGAUUUUCGCUUCGCAGGUUCUAUCCAGCUAUGUGAAGGUCACCGGUUCGAAUCCGGUAUUGUCCA